UUUCCGUAGGUGAACCUGCGGAAGGAUCAUUGUUGUAUAACCGAGGUGCGAGGGCUGUCGCUGACCCGAAAGGUCGUGCACGCCCGAGUGCCCUCACACACAUCCAUCUCACCCCUAUGUGCACCACCGCGCGGGUCCCCCUUUGGCUUGUUCGGAGGGGGGCUUACGUUUUCACACAAACUUUGUAUGCAGUGUAGAAUGUAUUUUUUGUUUUUGCGAUCACGCAAUCAAUACAACUUUCAACAACGGAUCUCUUGGCUCUC
This 263-nucleotide unclassified non-coding RNA is filed under the name plant metagenome. RNAcentral's name for it is "partial contains small subunit ribosomal RNA, internal transcribed spacer 1, and 5.8S ribosomal RNA". The record is from RNAcentral.